This 497-nucleotide ribosomal RNA is filed under the name uncultured bacterium. Its description in RNAcentral is "partial 16S ribosomal RNA". It matches the Rfam family "Bacterial small subunit ribosomal RNA", at positions 28 to 507 of the family's 1533-position model. The record is from RNAcentral.
GAUGAACGCUGGCGGCGUGCCUAAUACAUGCAAGUCGAGCGAACGGACGAGGAGCUUGCUGCUCUGAUGUUAGGGGCGGACGGGUGAGUAACACGUGGAUAACCUACCUAUAAGACUGAGAUAACUUCGGGAAACCGGAGCUAAUACCGGAUGAGAUUUUGAAGCGCAUGGUGCAAAAGUGAGAGACGGUCUUGCUGUAACUUAUAGAUGCAUCCGCGCUGCAUUAGCUGGUUGGUAAGGUAAAGGCUUACGACGGCAAGGAUGCGUUGCCGACCGGAGAGGCUGAUCGCCCACCCGGGAACUGAGACAGGGUCAUUAGUCCUACGGGAGGCAGCAGUAGGGAAUCGGCCGCAGUGGGGGAAAGCCUGACGGAGCAAGGGGGCGUGAGUGAUGAAGGUCUUCGGAUCGUAAAACUCUGUUACUAGGGAAGAGCAUAUGUGUAAGGAACUGUGCACAUAUUGACGGUAACUAAUCAGAAAGCCACGGCUAACUACGUG